Molecule: long non-coding RNA, 255 nt
Filed under: Capsicum annuum
Lineage: Eukaryota; Viridiplantae; Streptophyta; Magnoliopsida; Solanales; Solanaceae
Description: long non-coding RNA (CANN_LNC007452)
Source: RNAcentral
UGUCAAGAAGAUGAAUUCCCUUUUUUUUUUGUGUCUCCUCCCCUUUUUUAUCAAUCAAAAAUCUGCUGAAUAUGUCCCUUUGUAUGUGUAUAUAUGAGGUGAGGGUGGGGUAGUAGUGAGGUAGGUGGGGUCACGUGGGGUAGGAGGUAGGGUGUGAUGUGGUUUUGAUUGGAUGGGUUGUUGGGAUAGGGUAGGUAGGUGUUGUUUUUUAAUUGGAGAGAUAAGGGUUAGGUGUCUAUUUUUGUUUGGGUAGGU